This 500-nucleotide ribosomal RNA is filed under the name uncultured bacterium. Its description in RNAcentral is "partial 16S ribosomal RNA". It matches the Rfam family "Bacterial small subunit ribosomal RNA", at positions 30 to 523 of the family's 1533-position model. The record is from RNAcentral.
AUUGCACGCUGGCGGAAUGCUUUACACAUGCAAGUCGAACGGCAGCACGGACUUCGGUCUGGUGGCGAGUGGCGAACGGGUGAGUAAUACAUCGGAACGUGCCCAGUCGUGGGGGAUAACGUAGCGAAAGCUACGCUAAUACCGCAUACGAUCUAAGGAUGAAAGCGGGGGAUCGCAAGACCUCGCGCGAUUGGAGGGGCCGAUGGCAGAUUAGGUAGUUGGUAGGGUAAAGGCCUACCAAGCCGACGAUCUGUAGCUGGUCUGAGAGGAGGAUCAGCCACACUGGGACUGAGACACGGCCCAGACUCCUACGGGAGGCAGCAGUGGGGAAUUUUGGACAAUGGGCGCAAGCCUGAUCCAGCCAUUCCGCGUGCAGGAUGAAGGCCUUCGGGUUGUAAACUGCUUUUGUACAGAACGAAAAGGCUCUGGUUAAUACCCGGGGCUCAUGACGGUACUGUAAGAAUAAGCACCGGCUAACUACGUGCCAGCCGCCGCCGUAA